This 364-nucleotide unclassified non-coding RNA is filed under the name Hevea brasiliensis (rubber tree). Lineage: Eukaryota; Viridiplantae; Streptophyta; Magnoliopsida; Malpighiales; Euphorbiaceae. The record is from RNAcentral.
CAGAAGCAACCGACUCUUUGACCUAUAAAGUACAGUACAUCAGCAACCGAACAGCUAGUAAUUUCCAACUUUGAAGGAAACGUUAUGUGACCCAUUCAUCUGAACUUGCACGAAAACUUCCAUGAUAAAAGGUUAAAAAAAGUCAUCAUCACAUUAUGAGGCCUUCACCCAACUUAUUUUAGUACUUUUUGACUGUGGCAACCAUGAACCAAAUCCAACUUAAACAAAAACUACACAUUUUCAACUAGUCUACCAUUCUAAAAUGUAUUUAUAUUAAGGCAGUACCAUGCAAAGCCACCCUGUCCUGUGCAUGGGGAGAGGGGCACCUCCAUGAUGCAAAUUUUCACAUUCCAUGAAAUUUUAC